RNAcentral lists this ribosomal RNA (743 nucleotides) under uncultured bacterium. Its description in RNAcentral is "bacterial SSU rRNA". It matches the Rfam family "Bacterial small subunit ribosomal RNA", at positions 94 to 823 of the family's 1533-position model. The record is from RNAcentral.
AGUGGCGGACGGGUGAGUAACACGUAGGUAACCUGCCCCGGAGCGGGGGAUAACAUUUGGAAACAGAUGCUAAUACCGCAUAACAACAAAAGCCACAUGGCUUUUGUUUGAAAGAUGGCUUUGGCUAUCACUCUGGGAUGGACCUGCGGUGCAUUAGCUAGUUGGUAAGGUAACGGCUUACCAAGGCGAUGAUGCAUAGCCGAGUUGAGAGACUGAUCGGCCACAAUGGAACUGAGACACGGUCCAUACUCCUACGGGAGGCAGCAGUAGAGAAUCUUCCACAAUGGGCGCAAGCCUGAUGGAGCAACACCGCGUGAGUGAAGAAGGGUUUCGGCUCGUAAAGCUCUGUUGUUGGAGAAGAACGUGCGUGAGAGUAACUGUUCACGCAGUGACGGUAUCCAACCAGAAAGUCACGGCUAACUACGUGCCAGCAGCCGCGGUAAUACGUAGGUGGCAAGUGUUGUCCGGAUUUAUUGGGCGUAAAGCGAGUGCAGGCGGUUCAAUAAGUCUGAUGUGAAAGCCUUCGGCUCAACCAGAGAAUUGCAUCAGAAACUGUUGAACUUGAGUGCAGAAGAGGAGAAUGGAACUCCAUGUGUAGCGGUGGAAUGCGUAGAUAUAUGGAAGAACACCAGUGGCGAAGGCGGCUCUCUGGUCUGCAACUGACGCUGAGGCUCGAAAGCAUGGGUAGCGAACAGGAUUAGAUACCCUGGUAGUCCAUGCCGUAAACGAUGAGUGCUAAGUGU